This 418-nucleotide ribosomal RNA is filed under the name uncultured beta proteobacterium. RNAcentral describes it as "bacterial SSU rRNA". It matches the Rfam family "Bacterial small subunit ribosomal RNA", at positions 9 to 426 of the family's 1533-position model. The record is from RNAcentral. Lineage: Bacteria; Pseudomonadati; Pseudomonadota; Betaproteobacteria.
GAGUUUGAUCCUGGCUCAGAUUGAACGCUAGCGGGAUGCUUUACACAUGCAAGUCGAACGGCAGCGCGGGUCCUCGGACCUGGCGGCGAGUGGCGAACGGGUGAGUAAUAUAUCGGAACGUGCCCAGUAGCGGGGGAUAACUACGCGAAAGCGUAGCUAAUACCGCAUACGCCCUACGGGGAAAGGGGGGAGUCGCAAGACCUCCACUAUUGGAGCGGCCGAUAUCGGAUUAGCUAGUUGGUGAGGUAAAGGACUCACCAAGGCUGCGAUCCGUAGCUGGUUUGAGAGGACGACCAGCCACACUGGGACUGAGACACGGCCCAGGACUCCUACGGGAGGCGAGCAGUGGGGAAUUUUGGACAAUGGGGGCAACCCUGAGUCCAGCCAUCCCGCGUGUGCGAUGAAGGCCUUCGGUUGU